UCCGUAGGUGACCUGCGGAAGGAUCAUUACAGUAGUCACCCGGGUUGCCGCAAGGCCUCUCGGGUAACCUACCACCCUUUGUUUAUUACACUUUGUUGCUUUGGCAGGCCUGCCUUCGGGCUGCUGGCUCCGGCCGGCGAGCGCUUGCCAGAGGAUCUAAACUCUGUUUGUCUAUACUGUCUGAGUACUAUAUAAUAGUUAAAACUUUCAACAACGGAUCUCUUGGUUCUGGCAUCGAUGAAGAACGCAGCGAAAUGCGAUAAGUAAUGUGAAUUGCAGAAUUCAGUGAAUCAUCGAAUCUUUGAACGCACAUUGCGCCCCCUGGUAUUCCGGGGGGCAUGCCUGUCCGAGCGUCAUUACAACCCUCAAGCUCUGCUUGGUGUUGGGCCCCGCCGCCCCGGCGGGCCCUAAAGUCAGUGGCGGUGCCAUCCGGCUCCGAGCGUAGUAAUUCUUCUCGCUCUGGAGGCCCGGUUGUGUGCUUGCCAUCAACCCCCAAUUUUUUCAGGUUGACCUCGGAUCAGGUAGGGAUACCCGCUGAACUUAAGCAUAUCAAUAAGCGGAGGAAAAGAAACCAACAGGGAUUACCUCAGUAACGGCGAGUGAAGCGGUAACAGCUCAAAUUUGAAAUCUGGCCUCACGGUCCGAGUUGUAAUUUGUAGAGGAUGCUUCGAGCAUGGUCUGGCCUAAGUUCCUUGGAACAGGACGUCAUAGAGGGUGAGAAUCCCGUAUGCGGCCAGGUGCCUACGCUCAUGUGAAGCUCCUUCGACGGGUCGAGUUGUUGGGAGUGCAGCUCAAAAUGGGUGGUAAAUUUCAUCUAAAGCUAAU
Molecule: ribosomal RNA, 825 nt
Filed under: uncultured fungus
Lineage: Eukaryota; Fungi
Description: eukaryotic LSU rRNA
Rfam family: Eukaryotic large subunit ribosomal RNA (bases 508-825)
Source: RNAcentral